AGCGCCUUAUGGCUCCGUAUAGCGGGACUUUAAAAAAGGUGAUCCGGAACUGGGCAACCGUCUGUAUGCCUAUGCAGAUCAGUGGUCCACUGUGGGUUCAACGGCGUUCCGGUGCUUCCUGGAAUUCCAAGUCAGCUGACCUUGACGUAGCCAAUCAGAAGCUGUAAAUAGACUCCGUCGCUGUAGGAUUCAGAAGCCAGUCAGGCUGCGAAGGAAACAGACGGAGACAUGACGCUGCAAAACAACGAUGUGAAUGAAGGUGCCACAGUCACAAAGGACAGAUUGACCACAAAGGCUGACAAGCUGUCGGGACCAUUUAAUUACAACAACAACAAUCACAGACAAGAGGGCCCCGGAGGACUGUGGGAUUCUGUGAAGAAAGCAGCUUUUGUCAUCGGAUCUGGAAUCUUAUUCUUGGCUGCAUUCGGCAACUCACUGACAUGGUAAGCUCUCUGUACUACUUCCAACGAAUCAGUGUUCUGAGAUGAACCUGAGGAGGAGCAUCAUUACAUGUUUUUAUUUGAUGUAGGCAAGAUGUCACACAAUAGCAGCAGAACAAGAAUGGCAACAUAGGA
This is a long non-coding RNA of Thalassophryne amazonica, 575 nucleotides long. RefSeq lists it as uncharacterized. The transcript is spliced from 3 exons. NCBI's taxonomy places the organism in Eukaryota, Metazoa, Chordata, Actinopteri, Batrachoidiformes, Batrachoididae. The record is from RefSeq and is a predicted model, not a curated record.